UCAUGCAGAAGAGGAGCACUACCCAGGCAGGUGAUUGGUGGAACCGCAAUUCCUAUACCAAGCACUCAUGGGGAGUAGUGCCGAGGUGAGUCAAAUUUGCAGGAUUUGACUUGUCGGUUGACUUGGGUUGAAUCCCAUCAAUUGUCAUCAGCGCAGCCUGAUGAAGAGCUUCUGAGAGU
Molecule: non-coding RNA, 179 nt
Filed under: Vibrio azureus
Lineage: Bacteria; Pseudomonadati; Pseudomonadota; Gammaproteobacteria; Vibrionales; Vibrionaceae
Also listed under: 1 other name
Description: Lysine sequence
Rfam family: Lysine riboswitch aptamer
About the family: Riboswitches are metabolite binding domains within certain messenger RNAs that serve as precision sensors for their corresponding targets.
Source: RNAcentral